This is a small nucleolar RNA of Triplophysa dalaica, 73 nucleotides long. RefSeq annotates it as small nucleolar RNA SNORD47. NCBI's taxonomy places the organism in Eukaryota, Metazoa, Chordata, Actinopteri, Cypriniformes, Nemacheilidae. The record is from RefSeq and is a predicted model, not a curated record. The transcript has a single exon.
AACCUGUGAUGACCUGAUUCUGCCAAAUGAUUUUGCUGAUUAUACCCCUACCGUUCCAUUUAUUUCUGAGGUU